UCUUAUAACCUGCUCCUACAAAGCAGUACUGCUACAUCCAUAAUCUUAUAACUUGCUGCUGCAAGGGAGUGUUGCUUCAUUGACUAUCUUAUAGCCUGCUCCUUCAAGGAAGUGCUGCUACAUUGACUAAGGGUUUGGCAUAAGGCAGCAAUGGAAGGAUGGUUUUCUCUCUAAUGGAAAACGACGUAGUAAAACAUAUGAAUUGGUCAGAACUUGGUGAAAAUCUAAAAAAACCCUUUCGUGUCUUGAAAUGCCAAUAAGUUCUGGAAAAAGCAUUGCGAAGAAAUCCACCAACGAAAGGUGCUUCAGAAAGUGAUGUGCAGAAGGCCGUGGUUCACUAUUUAGCAGGAGCUAGCGUACGUAAUUGUGGUAGAAAACAAAAAGCCAUUCGACAAUCAAUAAAAAAAACUCACUUUGAACAUAGUGCACUAAUGCCUACAGCUUCAUCGGCAGUUAUAGAACAACCUUUAGUAUUGCCUAAAACUUCAGCGGAAGUUUCACUGCAUUAUUUGCCACUUUUUUACUCAGACGACUCAAACAAUUAGUUAUGUUAAAAAUUAGUUAUGUUAAAUGCUGCUACCUUAUAGUUUCUUCAGAAACGUUUUAAAAGUUGUUUCCCAUAUUCAUAAUGUAGUUAUAUUUUUCGUGUAUUAAUAUUGUAUUUUAUGU
Molecule: non-coding RNA, 669 nt
Organism: Hydra vulgaris (swiftwater hydra)
Lineage: Eukaryota; Metazoa; Cnidaria; Hydrozoa; Anthoathecata; Hydridae
Source: RefSeq, a predicted model, not a curated record